ACUGGCUUUACGCGCGCAGUGCGGUGCUCGGCGGGCGCCGUUCCGCGGGGCCGGCCCGGCCGUGCGGGGCCGCCGCGGUGCCCGGGAGCGGCUUGGAAGCGCCAGGCGCGGGUCCCGGCCGCGGCAGCGGCGGGCGAGGGUUGUGGUGACAAUGGAGGAGGGCGGCUGUUGCUGUGGCUGCAGCGAGGUUGAAGGAGCACUCGUGAGAAGUUUCCCAUUUGGAAUUGGGCUCCUGAAGAAAGGAACCUGAAACUGCUGUUUCUGAUAAAUCCCCCAGGGAAAAGCUGGAGAAAAGGUGGAGAGAGUGGCAAGCGGGAAUCCCAUGUUUAGAUCUGCCCUUGGAUUCCAGUUCCUCCUGGGGGGUCUGUGCUGCCCAAAGAACAAAGGAAGGAGAUGUUGGAGUACCUGUUUGUUCCCCUCUUGAGCUUGGAAGAGAUGCUGAGGGUGAAAUUCCAGGGAAGCUGCGCUUGCAGAGCGACUGGAGUGCGAAGCAGUGGCAGCUGUUUGCCGUGGACCGGUUUCCCCCCUUCACUUCGGUUCCCUGGUAUAACAGCUGGGGAUGGGGUCAGCGGCUCUGACCCAGGAAGAGGUGACCGGUCCGGGGAGAUGGUCCCGAAAGGAAUCGCCUUCCCGAGGGCCGGUGUCU
Long non-coding RNA from Corvus hawaiiensis (hawaiian crow), 646 nucleotides. RefSeq lists it as uncharacterized. NCBI's taxonomy places the organism in Eukaryota, Metazoa, Chordata, Aves, Passeriformes, Corvidae. The record is from RefSeq and is a predicted model, not a curated record. The transcript is spliced from 3 exons.